Molecule: non-coding RNA, 103 nt
Organism: Myotis davidii
Lineage: Eukaryota; Metazoa; Chordata; Mammalia; Chiroptera; Vespertilionidae
Source: Rfam
GUGCUCACUUCAGCAGCACAAACACUAAAAUUAGAAAAAUACAGAGAUUAGCACUGCCACACACAAGGAUGACAUGCAACUUCAUGAAACAUUACAUCGUUUU